This 249-nucleotide long non-coding RNA is filed under the name Elaeis guineensis (African oil palm). Its description in RNAcentral is "long non-coding RNA (EGUI_LNC027537)". The record is from RNAcentral. Lineage: Eukaryota; Viridiplantae; Streptophyta; Magnoliopsida; Arecales; Arecaceae.
GGAUCUCGACAUCCGAUGGGGCUCCCACCAGAGUAGGAAUCUAAGCUGGUAGGUCGAUUGGGUGCAACGGCAUUCACACAAAAAUUUGGAAAGUACCUAAACUCUAUUGUGAUAAUGAAGCUAAAGGGUGGGGGACUACAUCCCCUAGGAUGGCGGACCUGAGGGGCUACACAUCCCUCAGCGUCGAGGACUCCUUCCUUGGGAGAGCGCUACUGGGCCCUGAGGAAGUGCUAGCCGCAAGCUAGGCAA